AUUGAACGCUGGCGGCAGGCCUAACACAUGCAAGUCGAGCGGUAGAGAGGUGCUUGCAUCUCUUGAGAGCGGCGGUCGGGUGAGUAAUGCCUAGGAAUCUGCCUAGUGGUGGGGGAUAACGUUCGGAAACGGACGCUAAUACCGCAUACGUCCUACGGGAGAAAGCGGGGGGAUCUUCGGACCUCGCGCCAUUAGAUGAGCCUAGGUCGGAUUAGCUAGUUGGUGAGGUAAUGGCUCACCAAGGCGACGAUCCGUAACUGGUCUGAGAGGAUGAUCAGUCACACUGGAACUGAGACACGGUCCAGACUCCUACGGGAGGCAGCAGUGGGGAAUAUUGGGACAAUGGGCGAAAGACCUGAUCCAGCCAUGCCGCGUGUGUGAAGAAGGUCGUUCGGAUUGUAAAGCACUUUAAGUU
Molecule: ribosomal RNA, 415 nt
Filed under: uncultured bacterium
Lineage: Bacteria
Description: bacterial SSU rRNA
Rfam family: Bacterial small subunit ribosomal RNA
Source: RNAcentral